GUAUAUAUAGCUCAGUGGUAGAGUGCAGGCUUAGCAUGCAUGAGGUCCUGGGUUCAAUCCCCAGUACCUCCA
RNAcentral lists this transfer RNA (72 nucleotides) under Camelus bactrianus (Bactrian camel). It matches the Rfam family "tRNA". From Rfam's summary of the family: Transfer RNA (tRNA) molecules are approximately 80 nucleotides in length. Their secondary structure includes four short double-helical elements and three loops (D, anti-codon, and T loops). Further hydrogen bonds mediate the characteristic L-shaped molecular structure. tRNAs have two regions of fundamental functional importance: the anti-codon, which is responsible for specific mRNA codon recognition, and the 3' end, to which the tRNAs corresponding amino acid is attached (by aminoacyl-tRNA synthetases). tRNAs cope with the degeneracy of the genetic code in two manners: having more than one tRNA (with a specific anti-codon) for a particular amino acid; and 'wobble' base-pairing, i.e. permitting non-standard base-pairing at the 3rd anti-codon position. Lineage: Eukaryota; Metazoa; Chordata; Mammalia; Artiodactyla; Camelidae. RNAcentral also lists the same sequence under 2 other names. The record is from Rfam by way of RNAcentral.